GAACGCUGGCGGCAGGCCUAACACAUGCAAGUCGAGCGGAAACGAGUUAACUGAACCUUCGGGAAACGUUAACGGCGUCGAGCGGCGGACGGGUGAGUAAUGCCUGGAAAAUUGCCCUGAUGUGGGGGAUAACCAUUGGAAACGAUGGCUAAUACCGCAUAAUAGCUUCGGCUCAAAGAGGGGGACCUUCGGGCCUCUCGCGUCAGGAUAUGCCCAGGUGGGAUUAGCUAGUUGGUGAGGUAAUGGCUCACCAAGGCGACGAUCCCUAGCUGGUCUGAGAGGAUGAUCAGCCACACUGGAACUGAGACACGGUCCAGACUCCUACGGGAGGCAGCAGUGGGGAAUAUUGCACAAUGGGCGCAAGCCUGAUGCAGCCAUGCCGCGUGUAUGAAGAAGGCCUUCGGGUUGUAAAGUACUUUCAGCAGUGAGGAAGGUGGUGUCGUUAAUAGCGGCAUCAUUUGACGUUAGCUGCAGAAGAAGCACCGGCUAACUCCGUGCCAGCAGCCGCGGUAAUACGGAGGGUGCGAGCGUUAAUCGGAAUUACUGGGCGUAAAGCGCAUGCAGGUGGUUUGUUAAGUCAGAUGUGAAAGCCCGGGGCUCAACCUCGGAAUUGCAUUUGAAACUGGCAGACUAGAGUACUGUAGAGGGGGGUAGAAUUUCAGGUGUAGCGGUGAAAUGCGUAGAGAUCUGAAGGAAUACCGGUGGCGAAGGCGGCCCCCUGGACAGAUACUGACACUCAGAUGCGAAAGCGUGGGGAGCAAACAGGAUUAGAUACCCUGGUAGUCCACGCCGUAAACGAUGUCUACUUGGAGGUUGUGGCCUUGAGCCGUGGCUUUCGGAGCUAACGCGUUAAGUAGACCGCCUGGGGAGUACGGUCGCAAGAUUAAAACUCAAAUGAAUUGACGGGGGCCCGCACAAGCGGUGGAGCAUGUGGUUUAAUUCGAUGCAACGCGAAGAACCUUACCUACUCUUGACAUCCUCAGAAGAGACUGGAGACAGUCUUGUGCCUUCGGGAACUGAGAGACAGGUGCUGCAUGGCUGUCGUCAGCUCGUGUUGUGAAAUGUUGGGUUAAGUCCCGCAACGAGCGCAACCCUUAUCCUUGUUUGCCAGCGAGUCAUGUCGGGAACUCCAGGGAGACUGCCGGUGAUAAACC
Molecule: ribosomal RNA, 1154 nt
Filed under: Vibrio sp. S2394
Lineage: Bacteria; Pseudomonadati; Pseudomonadota; Gammaproteobacteria; Vibrionales; Vibrionaceae
Description: bacterial SSU rRNA
Rfam family: Bacterial small subunit ribosomal RNA
Source: RNAcentral